This 204-nucleotide long non-coding RNA is filed under the name Mytilus galloprovincialis (Mediterranean mussel). Lineage: Eukaryota; Metazoa; Mollusca; Bivalvia; Mytilida; Mytilidae. The record is from RNAcentral.
GCGGGUAAUGAUGGAGUUCAAGGAAUUGAGACAUUUAAAGAUAAGAUUAGGAGAAAAAUUGGUCUUAAAAAGUAAGAGUCAAGAAAAAUAGACCCCUGGUCUCCACCCAACCAAAAAAAAAGAAAAGAAAAUAGGAGAGAAAAAUGAAGGAUAUAGAGAAUAAUUACCAUAAAAUUACGGAAUGAACAAAUGAACACACACCCC